GAUGAACGCUGGCGGCGUGCCUAAUACAUGCAAGUCGAGUGAACAGACGAGGAGCUUGCUCCUCUGACGUUAGCGGCGGACGGGUGAGUAACACGUGGAUAACCUACCUAUAAGACUGGGAUAACUUCGGGAAACCGGAGCUAAUCCCGGAUAAUAUAUUGAACCGCAUGGUUCAAUAGUGAAAGACGGUUUUGCUGUCACUUAUAGAUGGAUCCGCGCCGCAUUAGCUAGUUGGUAAGGUAACGGCUUACCAAGGCGACGAUGCGUAGCCGACGUGAGAGGGUGGUCGGCCACACUGGAACGGAGCCAGGGUCCAGGCUCCUACGGGAGGCAGCAGUAGGGGAUCUUCCGCAAUGGGCGGAAGCCUGGCGGAGCGACGACGCGUGAGUUAUGAAGGUCUUCGGAGCGUAAAACUCUGUUAUUAGUGAAGAACAAAUGUGUAAGUAACUAUGCACGUCUUGACGGUACCUAAUCAGAAAGCCACGGCUAACUACGUG
RNAcentral lists this ribosomal RNA (497 nucleotides) under uncultured bacterium. RNAcentral describes it as "partial 16S ribosomal RNA". It matches the Rfam family "Bacterial small subunit ribosomal RNA", at positions 28 to 507 of the family's 1533-position model. The record is from RNAcentral.